RNAcentral lists this ribosomal RNA (497 nucleotides) under uncultured bacterium. RNAcentral describes it as "partial 16S ribosomal RNA". It matches the Rfam family "Bacterial small subunit ribosomal RNA", at positions 28 to 507 of the family's 1533-position model. The record is from RNAcentral.
GAUGAACGCUGGCGGCGUGCCUAAUACAUGCAAGUCGAGCGAACGGACGAGAAGCUUGCUUCUCUGAUGUUAGCGGCGGACGGGUGAGUAACACGUGGAUAACCUACCUAUAAGACUGGGAUAACUUCGGGAAACCGGAGCUAAUACCGGAUGAUAUUUUGAACCGCAUGGUUCAAAAGUGAAAGACGGUCUUGCUGUCACUUAUAGAUGGAUCCGCGCUGCAUUAGCUAGUUGGUAAGGUAACGGCUUACCAAGGCAACGAUGCAUAGCCGACCUGAGAGGGGGAUCGGCCACUCGGGAACUGAGACACGGUCCAGACUCCUACGGGCGGCAGCAGUAGGGAAUCUUCCGCAAUGGGCGAAAGCCUGACGGAGCAACGCCGCGUGAGUGAUGAAGGUCUUCGGAUCGUAAAACUCUGUUAUUAGGGAAGAACAUAUGUGUAAGUAACUGUGCACAUCUUGACGGUACCUAAUCAGAAAGCCACGGCUAACUACGUG